Molecule: ribosomal RNA, 616 nt
Filed under: Candida tropicalis
Lineage: Eukaryota; Fungi; Ascomycota; Pichiomycetes; Serinales; Debaryomycetaceae
Description: eukaryotic LSU rRNA
Rfam family: Eukaryotic large subunit ribosomal RNA
Source: RNAcentral
UGCAUAUCAAAAAAGCGUAGGAAAAGAAACCAACAGGGAUUGCCUUAGUAGCGGCGAGUGAAGCGGCAAAAGCUCAAAUUUGAAAUCUGGCUCUUUCAGAGUCCGAGUUGUAAUUUGAAGAAGGUAUCUUUGGGUCUGGCUCUUGUCUAUGUUUCUUGGAACAGAACGUCACAGAGGGUGAGAAUCCCGUGCGAUGAGAUGAUCCAGGCCUAUGUAAAGUUCCUUCGAAGAGUCGAGUUGUUUGGGAAUGCAGCUCUAAGUGGGUGGUAAAUUCCAUCUAAAGCUAAAUAUUGGCGAGAGACCGAUAGCGAACAAGUACAGUGAUGGAAAGAUGAAAAGAACUUUGAAAAGAGAGUGAAAAAGUACGUGAAAUUGUUGAAAGGGAAGGGCUUGAGAUCAGACUUGGUAUUUUGUAUGUUACUUCUUCGGGGGUGGCCUCUACAGUUUAUCGGGCCAGCAUCAGUUUGGGCGGUAGGAGAAUUGCGUUGGAAUGUGGCACGGCUUCGGUUGUGUGUUAUAGCCUUCGUCGAUACUGCCAGCCUAGACUGAGGACUGCGGUUUAUACCUAGGAUGUUGGCAUAAUGAUCUUAAGUCGCCCGUCUUGAACCACGGACCC